This 828-nucleotide ribosomal RNA is filed under the name uncultured Actinomycetes bacterium. RNAcentral's name for it is "bacterial SSU rRNA". It matches the Rfam family "Bacterial small subunit ribosomal RNA", at positions 68 to 883 of the family's 1533-position model. Lineage: Bacteria; Bacillati; Actinomycetota; Actinomycetes. The record is from RNAcentral.
UGGCAGCUGUAGCAAUACAGUAUGUGCUUAGCGGCAGACGGGUGAGUAACACGUAGACAAUCUACCUCUUAGAGGGGGAUAGCCAAUCGAAAGGUUGGGUAAUACCGCGUACGAUCAUGAUUCGGCAUCGGAUUAUGAUGAAACAUCCGCAAGGAUGGCUAAGAGAGGAGUCUGCGGCCUAUCAGCUUGUUGGCGGGGUAAUGGCCCACCAAGGCAACGACGGGUAUCCGACCUGAAAGGGUGACCGGACACACUGACACUGAGACACGGGUCAGACUCCUACGGGAGGCAGCAGUGAGGAAUUUUGGACAAUGGGGGCAACCCUGAUCCAGCGACGCCGCGUGAAGGAUGAAGGUCUUCGGAUUGUAAACUUCUUUUGUUUGGGAAUAAGAGUACCGAUGAAAAUCGGGACGUGAAUGUACCAGAUGAAUAAGCCACGGCUAACUUCGUGCCAGCAGCCGCGGUAAUACGAAGGUGGCAAGCGUUACUCGGAAUUACUAGGCGUAAAGGGCAGGUAGGCGGUUUGAUAUGUCCGUUGUGAAAGCUCCCGGCUUAACCGGGAGAGGUCAAUGGAUACUGUCGAACUUGAGUAUGGGAGAGGGUACUGGAAUUCCUGGUGUAGCGGUGAAAUGCGCAGAGAUCAGGAGGAACACCGAUGGCGAAAGCAGGUACCUGGACCAUUACUGACGCUCAGCUGCGAAAGCUAGGGGAGCAAACAGGAUUAGAUACCCUGGUAGUCCUAGCCGUAAACGAUGCACAUUAGGCGUGAGGGGUAUCGACCCCCUUCGUGCCGACGCAAACGCAUUAAAUGUGCCGCCUGGGGAGUAC